RNAcentral lists this ribosomal RNA (466 nucleotides) under Vreelandella stevensii. Its description in RNAcentral is "partial 16S ribosomal RNA". It matches the Rfam family "Bacterial small subunit ribosomal RNA", at positions 338 to 795 of the family's 1533-position model. Lineage: Bacteria; Pseudomonadati; Pseudomonadota; Gammaproteobacteria; Oceanospirillales; Halomonadaceae. The record is from RNAcentral.
CCUACGGAGGGCAGCAGUGGGGAAUAUUGGACAAUGGGCGAAAGCCUGAUCCAGCCAUGCCGCGUGUGUGAAGAAGGCCUUCGGGUUGUAAAGCACUUUCAGUGGGGAAGAAAGCCUUGGGGCUAAUACCCUCGAGGAAGGACAUCACCCACAGAAGAAGCACCGGCUGAACUCCGUGCCAGCAGCCGCGGUAAUACGGAGGGUGCGAGCGUUAAUCGGAAUUACUGGGCGUAAAGCGCGCGUAGGCGGUCUGAUAAGCCGGUUGUGAAAGCCCCGGGCUCAACCUGGGAACGGCAUCCGGAACUGUCAGGCUAGAGUGCAGGAGAGGAAGGUAGAAUUCCCGGUGUAGCGGUGAAAUGCGUAGAGAUCGGGAGGAAUACCAGUGGCGAAGGCGGCCUUCUGGACUGACACUGACGCUGAGGUGCGAAAGCGUGGGUAGCAAACAGGAUUAGAUACCCGGGUAGUC